Molecule: long non-coding RNA, 1712 nt
Organism: Mytilus californianus (California mussel)
Lineage: Eukaryota; Metazoa; Mollusca; Bivalvia; Mytilida; Mytilidae
Exons: 7
Source: RefSeq, a predicted model, not a curated record
AUUAACACUACUCCAACGGGAAUAUUCUAAAGGAUCAAAUUUACAGAUGAAACAUGAAAAGAAGAACUUGGAUUAUGUGACAACGUUUUAUCAUUCAAAAGAAAAAUUGUAUGUGAAAGUGUGAUUUAUCUGCGGUGUUAAUUAAGAACAAUAACUUUUGGGCAACGUCAACAUUGAAAACAUGCCUAUAAUUGAAAGUACAACAAAUAGCCUGUUUACGGGAAUUCAGAGAAUGAUCUUGUCCAAGAAGCCAGAGAAUUGAAGAUGUGUUCGUCAAAACCUCGCCGGCCAUAUUUAACAAACCCGUAGAAUUAUUCUGUAAGAUUAAUGAUGAAUUUAACACAAAACUUACCAGAAAAUGGGAAAGAGGUAUUGUCCCCUUGACGCACAACAACCUCACUGUUAACGAGUCAAAAUACAAAGAAAGAUUGACAAACAUUGGAUUUGGUCUUGAAAUACUGAAUUUUCAGGAGUCCGACCUAGAUAAAGAGUAUGUCUGCGUGUAUGGUUUUGACAGAUAUCCAACGUAUUUGACAAUCAACAUGGGUGAAUUUGAGUUACAUCCAGUAGACGAAACGACGACGAAAACGUGGAGUUUUACAGCGAGAACUUUGGACAUACAAAUAAAGUUUUCUUUAAUAUACCCUAUUCCAAUUUGCAAAGUAAUUUUAAAUGACAAAAAUUUAACCAUGUACAUUACGACAGCAUCCAAACAAGUUGGUUUGUUUUACUUUGCAACUGUAAAACUGGAAAAAAGUAUUGAAUCAAUAUGUCUGAAAAAAUUACAAACGAAUUGCACCGUAGGGAGGACAGAAUUCGUUGUUAUAAAUUAUCCUAGCACUACCCGAAAUUGCAAAAAUGCUGGCAAAAGGCAAGUUGAAUAUGGAUAUCUGUGGGCUUUUAUCGUAUUGGUGUUUAGAAUUAAUUCAGUUUUAUGGAACAUUUAGACUAGAACAGAUCCAAAAACACUUUCUUCAGCAUGCUGAUUAAGUCAAGUUAAAUUUAGGAAGUUUGUAUAAGAUUUUUGUGUUGGCGUUUAACCGAAAAACAUAGUAGAUUUAAAAUAGAUAAAAAAUAUUUCUGAAUAGUUUGUAUGUGACAAUAAUUAUCUAAAUACAAUGUAUUAUAGUCAAUUUCAUCAACUGGAAUAUAAAGCGAUUACUGACAUCUGCUAUGCAGUUCAGUCAUAAAGCAUCAAAUGUUUGAUUCCUCAACAAAGGAAACUCUGCGGAUUAUGCUAAUAAAAUUCAGUUCAUUAGUAAAAUAAAUGGAAAAAAGACAUUUUGAUAAAUAAGUUCAGCUUUUGAAAUGUUAAAUCUCAUUUUAGAGAUAAUGGAAAAAUUAAAUUCAUUAAUUUUACUUUAUCAAAAUAAUUGAAGACCACUUUAGAAAAGCGAUUUGUAAAGACGAUGUAAAUAAUUUCACAAAAGAAAUUCCAUGAUUAAAAAAUAAUAAUGAAACAAAAAUGUUCAACGUUACUGUAAGCAAGUUCAAAUACUUUUAAAAUAAAUAGAGAGAGAGAGAGAGAGAAGAUACCAAGGGUGCAAUAGUAAUCAUAAGUGCAAUAAAAACACCACGACCAAAAAUAAAAACGAUGAAAAAACGAACAAAUUUUCACAAAACACUUAUAUUUACAGAUUAAGCAAAACUAACACCACCAAAAAUACGGAAGUGAACUGCUAACAAAGAAUUUUUAAUAUGUUACACUUAAA